CCCUUAGAUGUUCUGGGCCGCACGCGCGCUACACUGAUGCAUUCAACGAGUCUAAAACCUGCUCUGAUAGGGGUGGGUAAUCUUUUGAAUGUGCAUCGUGAUUGGGAUAGAUGAUUGCAAUUUUUCAUCUUCAACGAGGAAUGCCUAGUAAACGCAAGUCAUCAGCUUGCAUUGAUUACGUCCCUGCCCUUUGUACACACCACCCGUCGCUCCUACCGAUUGAAUGAUCCGAUGAAUAUCAUAGACUGAGAGUAUAAGCAGGUUCGCCUGUCUUUGCUUCUCGGGAAGUGAAGUAAAUCUUAUCAUUUAGAGGAAGGAGAAGUCGUAACA
This 330-nucleotide ribosomal RNA is filed under the name uncultured eukaryote. RNAcentral describes it as "partial 18S ribosomal RNA". It matches the Rfam family "Eukaryotic small subunit ribosomal RNA", at positions 1470 to 1796 of the family's 1831-position model. The record is from RNAcentral.